This 314-nucleotide ribosomal RNA is filed under the name uncultured eukaryote. Its description in RNAcentral is "partial 18S ribosomal RNA". It matches the Rfam family "Eukaryotic small subunit ribosomal RNA", at positions 1470 to 1796 of the family's 1831-position model. The record is from RNAcentral.
CCCUUAGAUGUUCUGGGCCGCACGCGCGCUACACUGACUACUUCAACGAGUUGUUUCCUUGAUCGAAAGGUCUGGGUAAUCUUUGAAAGGUAGUCGUGAUGGGGAUAGAUCCUUGCAAUUUUUGAUCUUCAACGAGGAAUUCCUAGUAAACGCAAGUCAUCAGCUUGCAUUGAUUACGUCCCUGCCCUUUGUACACACCGCCCGUCGCACCUACCGAUUGAAUGGUCCGGUGAAGCCUCCGGAUUGGCGCGCACCUCGGUGCCGCCGAGAAGUUGGCUAAACCUUACCAUUUAGAGGAAGGUGAAGUCGUAACA